AGUGAACGCUGGCGGUAGGCCUAACACAUGCAAGUCGAACGGCAGCACAGUAAGAGCUUGCUCUUACGGGUGGCGAGUGGCGGACGGGUGAGGAAUACAUCGGAAUCUACUUUUUCGUGGGGGAUAACGUAGGGAAACUUACGCUAAUACCGCAUACGACCUACGGGUGAAAGUAGGGGAUCUUCGGACCUUGCGCGAUUGAAUGAGCCGAUGUCGGAUUAGCUAGUUGGCGGGGUAAAGGCCCACCAAGGCGACGAUCCGUAGCUGGUCUGAGAGGAUGAUCAGCCACACUGGAACUGAGACACGGUCCAGUCUCCUACGGGAGGCAGCAGUGGGGAAUAUUGGACAAUGGGCGCAAGCCUGAUCCAGCCAUACCGCGUGGGUGAAGAAGGCCUUCGGGUUGUAAAGCCCUUUUGUUGGGAAAGAAAAGCAGCAGGUUAAUACCCCGCUGUUCUGACGGUACCCAAAGAAUAAGCACCGGCUAACUUCGUG
This 492-nucleotide ribosomal RNA is filed under the name uncultured bacterium. Its description in RNAcentral is "partial 16S ribosomal RNA". It matches the Rfam family "Bacterial small subunit ribosomal RNA", at positions 29 to 507 of the family's 1533-position model. The record is from RNAcentral.